GCCCCAAUCUUCGAGCAGAAAGCAGAGAUUGCCCUGGUGACCAACAAACCCGAGAAAGUGGCUCCUUCACGCCAGGAUAUAUUUCAAGAACAACUGGCAGCCAUCCCAGAAUUCCAGAGCCUGGGUCCUCUGUUCCGGUGCUCCGAGCCCGUCCAGCUCACGGAAGCGGAGACCGAGUACUUUGUGCGCUGCAUCAAACACGUCUUCCCGAACCACAUCGUC
Molecule: long non-coding RNA, 222 nt
Organism: Neopelma chrysocephalum (saffron-crested tyrant-manakin)
Lineage: Eukaryota; Metazoa; Chordata; Aves; Passeriformes; Pipridae
Exons: 3
Source: RefSeq, a predicted model, not a curated record